AUCGCUUCUCGGCCUUUUGGCUCAGAUCAAGUGUAGUAUCUGUUCUUAUCAGUUUAAUAUCUGAUACGUCCCCCAUCGGGGGACUACAUAUUAAAUGGAUUUUUCGAACAGGGAGUCGGAAAUGGGGCUUGCUCCGUCCGCUCCACGCAUCGACGCGGUAUUGCAGUACCUCCGGGAACGGUGCAACACUU
Molecule: small nuclear RNA, 191 nt
Filed under: Salmo salar (Atlantic salmon)
Lineage: Eukaryota; Metazoa; Chordata; Actinopteri; Salmoniformes; Salmonidae
Description: U2 spliceosomal RNA
Rfam family: U2 spliceosomal RNA
About the family: U2 is a small nuclear RNA (snRNA) component of the spliceosome (involved in pre-mRNA splicing). Complementary binding between U2 snRNA (in an area lying towards the 5' end but 3' to hairpin I) and the branchpoint sequence (BPS) of the intron results the bulging out of an unpaired adenosine, on the BPS, which initiates a nucleophilic attack at the intronic 5' splice site, thus starting the first of two transesterification reactions that mediate splicing.
Source: Rfam by way of RNAcentral